This 345-nucleotide unclassified non-coding RNA is filed under the name soil metagenome. RNAcentral's name for it is "partial contains 5.8S ribosomal RNA, internal transcribed spacer 2, and large subunit ribosomal RNA". The stretch from base 1 to 120 matches the Rfam family "5.8S ribosomal RNA", at positions 35 to 154 of the family's 154-position model. The record is from RNAcentral.
GAUGAAGAACGCAGCGAAAUGCGAUAAGUAAUGUGAAUUGCAGAAUUCCGUGAAUCAUCGAGUCUUUGAACGCACAUUGCGCCCCCUGGUAUUCCGGGGGGCAUGCCUGUCCGAGCGUCAUUGCUGCCCUCAAGCACGGCUUGUGUGUUGGGCCUCCGUCCUCCUCCCGGGGGACGCGCCCGAAAGGCAGCGGCGGCACCGCGUCCGGUCCUCGAGCGUAUGGGGCUUCGUCACCCGCUCUUGUAGGCCCGGCCGGCGCUUGCCGACACAUCAAUCUUUUUUCCAGGUUGACCUCGGAUCAGGUAGGGAUACCCGCUGAACUUAAGCAUAUCAAUAAGCGGAGGA